UGGAAGAUUGUCCCAGCCUGCAUUUGGUGGACUAUAUGGAUGGAAAGGAACCAGAGAUGUUUCGAAAACAAGAGCUGCUCUCUGCAGAAACUGAAGAUGAACUGUCUAGUCCUUUUUUUUUUUGGUGUAAACACGAAUAUCCUCAAGAAGAAGAGGAUAUUCCUAGUAUUUUAGAUUAUUUAUGAAGCUUAGUAGGGACACCUCUCCCUCUGUAAUUUUAUUGUAAGUAUUAUUGGAAUACUUUUCUGAGUAUUCCUUUUGUACAUAAUACAAGUUACCUUCUUCAAAAAAAAAUGAACAAAUUUGAGAAAUUUAAAGGUAACAACAAAAUUGCCUCCAACCUUACAUGGAUUUUAUAGUAGAGGAAGAAGGAAAUCUAACUGAAGUAGAAAAAGCAAAUAAUAGAAUGCCAAGGAAAAUCAUUUGUAUGGAUGCUUGAAUAGAAAGAAAUCCAAUACAAAUGCCAAAAAGGAUAUGUAUUAAGAGUUGGCAGAAGUGUGAGGAUAGUGGAAGGAUAUAGAGGACCUUACGCUUGAGCUCCUACUUCUUGUAACUAUUAUUACUCUCCCACAAUCUUAUUCUUCAAUUUUGUUGUUACUUGUUGUUUCUUUUUCGUCAAUUAUCGUAUUAUUUGUUGUUGCUACUGUUCGUUUCUCCACUACUAUAUUUCCUUUCAUACCCGGCUUGUUAUGCUUUUCUUGAGCCAAGGGCCUUUUGGAAGUAGCCUCUCUAUCUUCACAAGAUUGGGGUAAGAUCUGUGUACACACCACCUCCCACAGACCCCACUUGUGGGAUUACAAUGGGUAUGUUGUUGUUUGUAAAAUUAGGUCUUAGGCAUAACUCACACCCCAAAAGCUAGCUCAAUGGGAGGACUGCCCAAGUUUUAUAAGGAGUUCACCCAUCUCAUUAACCACCAAUGUGAGACUUUUGUCAUUCUCCAUCACCCGACCUCACGCCCAAUGCUUAGCAUCUGGUGCGUGGGCAAUUUUUAUUUUUUGGGGGGAACCAACAUUGGGUGAGAUGGGCCCUGCUCUGAUACCAUGUUAAAUUAGGUCUUAGGCCUAACUCACACCUCAAAAGCUAAGCUCAAAAGGAGGAAGACUGCUCAAGCCUUAUAAGGAGUCCGCUCAUCUCAUUAACCACCAAUGUGGGACUUCUGUCAUUCUUCAAAAUUGUUGUUAUUGUUGUUGCUGCUCAUUUGUCUAAAAAGCAGGAAAUAUGCGAAAAAGACACAUAAUUUCAUCCAACACGCAAUGAAGAGAUAGUCAGUCCAUUGUUUCCCUGGUAGGUAGAAAGGUGUGAAAAUUGCAAGAGAUGCUCAAAUACUAAUUAUCUGCUAGUCUGCUAGUCUUCUUUCUGGAAGCAAAUUGAACUACUGUGUUUUUAACCACACAAACUAGUAAUUCAGGAAGUGAGAACUUCUUUUGGAGAAUAACUGCACCACAGACUAAGAAAACCAAAUUAUGAUAUCAAAUAAGACUUACCCGCUGCUUCAAUAUCUUGGCACCAAUCAAGGGCAGAAGGAGUGCUUCAGAAGAUUGAAUGCUAGCCUUAACCCGUCCAAGCAGCCUAUCCAAAUCUGGAAUCUUGCGAAGAUAUUGAGCAGUGGAUAAUGUAGCAUCUGAAUUGUCAACAAGUUUGUCAACUACAUCAAGCCUAUGGUUGAUUUUCUCUACAUCUUUGAGGGGAUGACAAAUCCAUUUUCUUAAAAGUCGCUUCCCAGGUAAUGUAACACAGUUAUCCAGAUACAUGUAUAAAGUACCUGAAACGCAAAGAAGAAAAUACAAUUGCCAGAACUGCCCCUUAGAAUGAGUACAGAGCUUUGAUUUGACAAAAAAAUUUGUACUUGCCUGAUGGACUCCCAUUGGCAUUAUUGUUGAAGAUUUCAAGAUUGACAAGCGUCUGUCCAUCCAUUCUGAGGCAACCCUUAUAGACUUCAUAUGAUAGAACAUCACCAUUAUGUAAGACCUCAUCUAACUGUUAAAUUCAGAACAAAAUAUUCACCAAAAUAAUACGAUAAGUAUUACACACAGAAAACAGGCCAUGCUUCUGAGACUUACCAUCAAUCGCUCUAAAUGAUUAACAAGAAUCCCAAGAGCACAUAAAGCAACAUCAUGGUUCUCUCCAUCAAAGGUGUGAUCCCACUUAUUACAAGAUCUUUUAAAGUAACCUUUCAAGUCGAGGAAAUUUUUCACUUCUGCAGGAUCAACAAAAUCUGCACCUGGCUGAACUGGAGAUAGGAGUGGUGCUGCAGGACCUAAAUGGACAAAGAAUAUUUAUCAAGAGAUCUAAGAAAGUGAAAACUCUACCCUCCCCCACCCCCAGCUUUUUCUUUUUGCUCAACUUCUCCUUUUUCUUUUCCUAUUCUUUUCUUGAUUGCCCCAUGUAAAUCAAAAAUGAUACUGUCAAUGAGUUUAUAGCAGAAUUCACGGGGAAGAAAUUCAUCCACAUGUCAGCAUUUUAGAAAUGCAGAAACAAAAUAAAACUCAGGAUUUGUUUAUCAAAGAGAUCUGAUGAAGUGACCACUCCAUCAACACCAUCAUCCCUCCUCUCUAUUCCUAAGGCUCAUUUCUUAUCGUUUCUUAAAAUUUCUGAAGUUGGAAGCACCCAUUUCUGAAAAGCAGUUUCAGCCCUAGAGACUUGCAACAAGAAAAUAAUUAGGCAUAGAAGUGCAAUUUAAAUUUAGAGAUCUUAGGGGCCGUUUGGUUGUUGGUUAGAGUUAUGCAGGUAUUAGUAAUAUAUCUAUUAGUUAUGCAGGUAUUAGUAAUGUAGGUAUUAGUUAUGCAGGUAUUAAUUAUGCAGGUAUUAAUUAUGCAGGGUUAAAUAAUUUCUUUGGGUGUUGAUUUGUUAUAUUGAAAAUUAAUAAAAAUUAUAUAUUUCUUAAAAAUAAAAUAUUUAUUUACAAUUAUACCCUUGACCUUUCUUACCUUUGUAUUUCUUUUUUCUUUUUUCUUUUUGCAUUUUGUUUAGGCAAAAUUAUAGAAAGGAAUUGGGUGUCACAUUUUUCAACUUCCUCAUAUAGUUGAACCAACGUGUAUAUAUAUAAAUAAGUUUGUUCUUUCUUUUUCAUAGAGAAUGUCAUGGCUUUUUUUCAGACCAAUGCUUCCGGCCAUAUUUAUAAAAGUAAUCCGUGGAAGCUCUCAGAUAAUGAAGAAAAACAUCUUGUUAGCUGUCAGCAACUUCCCAGUUGAUUGCCUUCUUGUAUUGCCUCCAUUGUAAGAUGAAGUAGAGGAGGAGUCAUUCUAGAUCUAGAAAUGCGCAAGGAGGAUCUGAAUGUCUCCUAACAAAAGUGGAGUAUAUUUGAUUGAAAGUGAUUAAGGGUAAAGUUGUCAAUUACUAGUAUUAUUAUUUAGGUAUAACUUAUUCCAUCUUCUACCCCCACAUAAAAUAAUACAUAGAUUAACUCAUAAUUUAUACAUGUAUAUGUAUUAGUUAUGUGGUUUUCUAAUUUUCUAACCAAACAUAGUAUUAUGUGUGUUGAAUUUUAUACCUGAUAUAAAAAUGCUACCAAACACGGUAAAGCUUAUGCAACAUUUUAUACUUGAAUAACUCAUCCCUUAUCAAGUAACCAAACAGCCCCUUAAUUCCCACUUUUAUGGUGGAAAAGUCAGAAGAAUUAGCCUAAAUUAGAACUCUAUGUACCCCUCCUCCCCCCGAGCCAAACAAAUAUAUAACAACAAGAAAAGGUUGUGGUUAGCUAUAUGAAUCUUUACUGACCAUGAUUCUCUAUUUCAAUUCAUCUAAGACCACGAUAAUACGGGGAAAAAAUAAAGAGUACUAGAAGUUCUCUAUAAUUUUGUAGCAUCCUAGCACUUUUGGGAUCAAGUUGAACCUUUAAGUUAUUUUCUCCAAUUAUUGUUUUCUUAUUUUAGUCUUUUGGGAUCAUUUUGGACCUUUAAGUUAUUUUCUCCAAUUAUUGUUUUCUUAUUUUAGUUUUUUGAGAUCAUGUUGAACCUUUAAGUUAUUUUCUCCAAUUAUUGUUUUCUUAUUUUAGUAAGUAUAUAUAUAUAUAUAUUUUUUUGCAGCGCAUAGGUUAAUUUAUUAGAUAGGUCAGUUUCUGUCUUCAGGGUCGGUGGCACUGUUAGCUGGCAUAGAAAGACUUAGAAAAUCAAUACUCCCUCUGUCCCAAUUUAUACACUUUUUAUUUUUCAAGAGUCAAACAAUUUAAGUUUGACCGGAAAUUUGUGCAUGGAAUUAUCAAUUUUUAUGAUAUGAAAUUUAUAUCUUUGUAAACUACUUAAAAGUACCAUAAGUCACAAUAAUUGACAAUGCAAAAUAUAUAAAAGAUAUAUGAAAAAUUUACGGUCAAAGAUAGACUUAUUUGAAUCUCGAAAUCCGAAAAGUGUCACAUAAAUGGGGACAGAGGGAGUAUUAUGUUAAAUCGAGAGACAGUGUGUGAGAGUGAGAGAGAGAAAGAGAGUCUAUAUAUACAUAAAGAUACCUAUACACUUAAUUAGAAGUAUUAUUUACGUAUGUAUAAUAUAAAUUAUAAGAAGAGAGACAUACAUAUAAUGAAAAAGUUUAUGCACUAAGCCCAAAUCACUAUUACGGACUAUAAGUUUAUGAUCUUGCAAUGGAAUUAAGUUGACAUGUUUGGUCGAUAAGUCAGCGACAUAAUAGGUCUUGAUUGUCUUCUUGUACAGGAAUUAAGGGAAUGAACAAAGCUGAAAAUGCUAUGGAAGUGGGAAUUUUUGUGGGAAAAGGGAACAAUCGUACAACAAACUUAAAGGAUUUUAUGGAAAGGAAACCAAUCAAUUGCUUGGUUACAAUAGCAACCAGUGAAUGAACAAACUAAGCUCUCAAGGCACAGAUUUGUUCAAGCACCACCAUCAACAUAAGGAAUUCAAACUUGGCUACAAUAAGCUUCUAUAGCAACUCAACUCUUCGUUUUUGAGUAUUUGCGUUCCAUUUCAUGUUCAGAGGCCUUGCAUAGGUUGGUAUUUUGUUUGGAACCUGUUGGUAUAGCUUGGGUUGAGACCUGAGGGGUUUGAGUUGGUUUCAGCACAUUUUUGAGCAAAAACUAGUGCUGGUGCAGGUCCGAAGUUGGUGCGCUGGAAUUGCGAAGAACUUGCUCAUGGGCUUGGUCCGCAAUUGCGGAGAAAAGGACCGCAUUUGCGAAGAACCUGGUCCAUGUAUAAGGUCAUAAUUUCAGAAUUUUUCAUUAUUUCACCAUUUUGGACGAACUAGCUAUGAGAUUAAUGGGAUUUAGUUUGGAGACCAUCAUUUUUUUUAAUGACCAUGGUGUCUGAGCCAGCUUUUCCGCACAUCAACUGAUUCCACAAGAUACCUCCCACCACCAUAAGGUACCAGGUAACUCUAUCCACCAAGGCUAGGACAGAUGGGAAGAAUAACCUAAAUUUUAUAUCUCCACUGAGUUUUGAAACUGAGACUCAAGGGUUCUCAAUCACUUACUUCAUUAACCACUGGGCCACACCCUUGGGUGCAACCAUCAUAGAAACUCAAGGUAAUGAUUCUGCACUAACCCAUGAAAACUAUACAUGUUUAUAUUCAAAGUUUAGCCAUUAAAGGAAUUAUUUUUUUUGAUAACCGAGAAAUCCGUCAGUGACCCGCCCUUUGGACCAAUCACAUCCUUCCAAACUUGGUGGAUAAUGGGCCCGCCCCUCUACCCUUCUCCACUUAAAUAUCAGACUUCGUUUUGCAUGGUGUGGGGCUUGAACCUGCGACCUAAGCCACAAAUCCUCCACCUUUUGCCACUCGAGCUAGGCCUUGGGAGCCAUUAAAUUAAGGAAUGUUAUGGUGGAAUUUGGGAGUUUUUGGUCUAAGAUCUAGAAAUGAUAUAAUUGAUUGAGUUGAUAAAUGAAUUCAAAAAACUUGGACUCGUGGGGUAAUCGAUAAACUGGAUAUGAGCUUGGUUCUGAUGUUUGACCAUGUGGGCUCGUGAUUGACUUUUUGGUUUACUUUAACCUAGACUGCAUAUUAGAUUAUAGAAUUGAGUCCAAUGUCAUUAGUUGAAGUGAUUAAAUAUAUAUUUGAAUAGAGUUGAGAUGUUUGGAAGGUUCCGAACGUGGAAAAGUGAUACGACCUGUAACAAAAAGGAAAGAACAAGUGUCCUAAAGAGCAAAUGAACUGAAUUGCUCUUGAACAGAUCACUCGAGAACCCUAAGAGUUCUUACUGAGUUGGAGAGGAGAGAGUUCUUGACUUUGAAUCACCAAUACAAAAUGCUUACAAUUGCUAUAGUAUUCAUUUAUAUGCUGAAUGAAAUAUGGGAGGGAAAGUUAGUUACAAUUAACUUUAGGAAAGGCCAACUAACUGCGCACAUGGGUCGAACGUUGACAACUAAUUGAUCCUGGACAACUUUUCAAACUAAUUGCAGAUGAAAUGAAUAUGGAAGCAAAAUGAGAAAUGAAACCCCACUCUAAUUGUAUCAUAUCUGUUAGAAUGUACAUAGACAUAUUUUCCUAUAGAAUACAUAGCACAAUCUCAACACAAUCAUAGAUAGAGAUAUUUAGGGAUUUUCUGAUUUUGUUUUCCUUAGAUAGAUUAUCUGUUUUCCUUAGAUAGAUUAUAUGUACACCUACAAAUAGCUCUCCUUUUGGAUUAAUAGAAUAAGCAAGAUUGCUCCAUUCUCUCUGUAUUUUACAUGGUAUCAGAGCGGAGUUUCUUUCUGUUUCUUUUUUUGUCUUUUCGAAUCACUGGAGUCGGCCAGUUCAGAAAAUUAUCCGUAAGUAACUUGGUUGGUCACGUUUGCUAUUGGGAGGUACUUGGAACUUGAUAUUCCAAUCUCACAGCCCACCUCACCCGAUCUGUAAGAACCAGAAUCCGGUGGCUGGCAGGGAAGAGUGUGAAGCUCAAGCUCCGGCGAACUAUUCAGGCAACUUCUGCAUACGAGGCACGUGGGGCGUGUGUAAAAUCUGAAUCAGAUCAGAUUUUUUAUUUCCAGUAUCAUCACAAUAUUUCCGGUCAGAUUUUGUGGUCUUUUGUUCAACAGACCUCAGUUGGGUUGAUUUCCUAGCAUUCCAGGUUCCUUAAACUUUGUUUUCCUCGGGUAAAAUCGAUUGACAUGUAUUUGCUGACUUUGGUGUUAAAUUACUGCUAAAAUUUUGGUCGAAUCUUCCUCUCUCUGGCUUGAUUGAUUGUUUACUCUAAGUGAAGAAUUAGUUUGAUUGGAUCAACCAAGCUCUAUUGACUCUUGAACAUCUGGAAAUCUGUUGGGAUAUUUCUCCUUCGUAGCAUUUUGUUGGUUUCACCUCUCAAUUUAUUUUUGUUAUAUUGAGUAUUUAAUUGGACCAAUGACUGAUCAUAAUUUGGUAACUCAAAGGUCUGAAGUUCUUGGUGCUUCUAGUCCAUCAUCUGACAAAAUGAAUUUGGUUUCGGUUAAGGAGUUUGCUAAUUUCUGUCGAUAUCAAAAAUCCACUUCAGUUACUGCUUUUGCUAAGUCUGACAAAGUAUGUCUUGUUACCGCUUCAAAUAAAUGGGUCAUUGAUUCAGGUGCUACAAAUCACAUGACAGGUAAUCCUAGUAUCUUUUCAAGCUUUCAACCACACAAAGCACCAUCUCCCGUUACUGUAGCCGACGGUUCAACUUGUAACAGUGUUGGGUCUGGAACUGUUAAACCAACCUCCUCUAUUACCUUGUCAUCUGUGUUAAGUCUACCAAAAUUGGCUUUCAAUUUGAUAUCUGUCAGUAAACUUACCAGAGACCUUAAUUGUUAUAUCUCAUUCUUUCCCGAUCAUUGUCUGUUUCGUGAUCUUACAACGAAUCAGGUAAUUGGAAAAGGACAUUUAUAUGAUGAUCUCUACAUCCUCGAUGAAUGGGAGUCUCGAUCUAUUGCCUGCUCUAGUGUUGUAUCUCCAUUUGAAGCACAUUGUCGAUUGGGACAUCCUUCUCUACCUCUAUUGAAGAAGCUUUGUCCACAAUUUCAGAAUAUUUCUUCCUUGGACUGUGAGUCAUGUCGAUUUGCAAAACACCAUCGUAUCUCGUUAGGUCCAAGGAUUAAUAAUCGAGUUGCAUCAUCUUUUGAGUUAGUUCAUUCUGAUGUAUGGGGACCAUGUCCAGUUGUUUCUAAAACAGGGCAUAAAUAUUUUGUCACUUUUGUAGAUGAUUUUUCUCGAAUGACUUGGAUUUACUUUAUGAAGAGUCGAUCUGAAGUGUUUACUCAUUUUUCUGCCUUUUGUGCUGAAAUCAAAACUCAGUUCAAUGCCUCAAUUCGUAUUCUAAGGAGCGAUAAUGCUAAAGAAUAUAUGUCAGAAGUAUUUAGAUCAUACAUGAGACAAAACGGUAUUCUCCAUCAGUCCUCAUGUGUUGAUACACCCUCUCAAAAUGGAGUUGCUGAGAGGAAGAAUAGGCAUCUGCUUGAGACAGCUCGAGCGCUUUUGUUCCAAAUGAAGGUUCCUAAACAAUUUUGGGCUGAUGCGGUCUCUACUGCUUGUUUUUUGAUAAAUCGCAUGCCAUCAACUGUGCUUGCUGGUAAUGUGCCUUAUAAUGUUCUCUUUCCAAAUAAGUCACUAUUUCCAGUGGAACCUAAGGUAUUUGGAAGCACAUGUUAUGUUCGAGACAUUCGACCAUCUGUUACAAAGUUGGACCCCAAGGCAUUGAAGUGUGUUUUCUUGGGUUAUUCUCGCCUUCAAAAGGGAUAUCGGUGUUAUUCUACUACGCUUGGUAGAUAUUUGGUGUCAAUUGAUGUGGUAUUUUCUGAGACUACACCAUUCUUCUAUGCACCUCCCAAUUCUACAAGUCAGGGGGAGGAAGAAGAGUGGUUAGUCUACCAGGUUACUCGUGUUGUGACAGAAAAGUCAGAAGAUGUUGUUCCCUAUCCUAGUCCUUCUGUUGAGCACCAAUCCACUAUUGUGCCAUCAGCCCCUAUUGUAUCUGUGCCAACAAGACGUUGCUCUUCGAAAAGGUACACGUCAGUGUAAAUCCACAUAUUCCAUUGCUAACUUUGUCUCUUAUGACCACUUAUCAGCUGCAUCUAGUUGUAUGAUUGCCUCUCUAGACUCUAUCUCUAUUCCCAAAACAGUGAAGGAUGCCUUGAACCAUCCUGGAUGGCAUGAUGCAAUGCUUGAGGAGAUACAUGCUUUAGAUGAAAAUCACACUUGGGAUUUGGUAGAUUUACCCAAAGGAAAGAAAGCAGUUGGAUGCAAAUGGAUCUUCGCGGUCAAAGUUAAUCCCGAUGGCUCUGUUGCAAGACUUAAGGCCAGACUUGUGGCUAAAGGCUAUGCCCAGACUUAUGGUGUAGAUUAUUCUGACACCUUCUCCCCGGUAGCCAAGCUCACCUCUGUUCGCUUGUUUAUUUCCUUGGCUGCCUCUAAGCAUUGGCCCUUACAUCAGUUGGAUAUCAAAAAUGCAUUUCUUCAUGGUGAUCUCAAUGAAGAAGUGUAUAUGGAGCAACCACCUGGAUUUGUUGCUCAGGGGGAGUAUGGGAAAGUUUGUCAUCUGAGAAAAUCUCUAUAUGGUCUAAAGCAAAGUCCUCGUGCUUGGUUUGGAAAAUUUAGCGAUGUAGUUCAGGAAUUUGGAUUGAAGAAGAGCAAGUGCGAUCACUCAGUUUUCUAUAGACAGUCAACAGUUGGUAUUAUUCUUUUAGUUGUUUAUGUUGACGAUAUUGUUAUUACAGGAGAUGAUUGUGCAGGAAUUUCUUCUCUGAAAGAGUUUUUACAUGCCAAAUUUCAUACUAAAGAUUUGGGGCAACUGAAAUACUUCUUGGGUGUUGAAGUAGCAAGAAGCAAGAAAGGAAUUUUCUUGUCCCAAAGAAAGUAUGUACUUGAUCUACUUGCAGAAACUGGAAAAUUGGGAGCCAAACCAUGUUGCACACCAAUGGUUCCUAAUGUUCAUCUUACUAAGGAUGAUGGUGAUCCUCUUGAUGAUCCAGAAAGAUAUAGGAAAUUGGUUGGGAAAUUGAACUACCUCACAGUGACCCGUCCAGAUAUUGCAUAUGCAGUCAGUAUUGUUAGUCAAUUUAUGUCUGCACCGACAAUCAAACAUUGGGCAGCCUUGGAACAAAUCUUGUGCUACUUGAAAGGAGCACCUGGCCUUGGCAUUUUGUAUAGCGACCACAGACAUACUCGUAUUGAGUGUUUUGCAGAUGCUGAUUGGGCUGGAUCAAGAAUUGAUAGAAGAUCUACUACUGGCUAUUGCGUUUUUAUUGGUGGAAAUUUGGUAUCUUGGAGGAGUAAGAAACAAACUGUUGUAUCUCGAUCUAGUGCAGAAUCUGAGUAUAGAGCUAUGGCUCAAUCCACAUGUGAAAUACUAUGGAUUCAUCACCUUUUAGUUGAGAUCGGUUUGAACCCUUUGUCUCCAGCAAAACUUUGGUGUGAUAAUCAGGCAGCUCUACACAUUGCCUCAAAUCCAGUGUACCAUGAACGGACGAAACACAUUGAGGUUGACUGUCACUUUGUUCGUGAAAAGAUUCAAGAGAACAUGAUUUCUACUGGAUAUGUAAAGACAGGAGAGCAAUUGGGUGAUAUAUUUACGAAGGCUUUAAAUGGAACUCGGGUGGGAUAUCUUUGUAACAAGUUGGGCAUGAUUAAUAUCUAUGCUCCAACUUGAGGGGGAGUGUUAGAAUGUACAUAGACAUAUUUUCCUAUAGAAUACAUAGCACAAUCUCAACACAAUCAUAGAUAGAGAUAUUUAGGGAUUUUCUGAUUUUGUUUUCCUUAGAUAGAUUAUCUGUUUUCCUUAGAUAGAUUAUAUGUACACCUACAAAUAGCUCUCCUUUUUGGAUUAAUAGAAUAAGCAAGAUUGCUCCAUUCUCUCUGUAUUUUACAUCAAAUACCGCCCUCUUCAAAAAAUCUUUGUCCUCGAGGAUUAAAUGGUGUGGUCAGCAUUACAUUAUGGGUAACCGAAGGCGAAUAUUACUUUACCGAAUAAGUCAAACCAAGAUCUAGGGGAUUGCUUCAGUCCAUACAAGGAUUUCUUCCGUCUGGAUACCUUUCCUUGACUUUGUUCAGAAUAAAAUCCAGGAGGAAUCUCCAUGUACACCACUUCUUUUAAGUUUCCAUGAAAUGCAUUUUUCACAUCAGACUAUUGUAAGUCUCAAUCUAGAUUUGUAUAAUCGUAGGAGGAAACCUGAUCACUUGAAGAAGCACAGAGCAAAGUCUAGUUGCUAGAACAAGUGCCAAGGCAGAAUAUAGAGCUACAACGAAGGGUGUUUGCUGACUUUUUUUGUUACAAAAGCUACUAGAGGAAUUGAGAUUGUCUGAAAAGGGAAUAUGUUUCUUUGUAUUGUGACAGCAAGGCUCCAAUCAGUAUAGCUCAUAAUACAGUCCAGCAUGAUCAAACAAAGCAUGAAAUUGAUUGACACUUCAAGAAAAAGUUAUGAGUGGUGUCUUGAGUUUAUUCCAUGUGUCACUCUGUAAAGCAGCUAGUUGAUGUGUCUGCCAAAGGCCUCAACUAACGCACUUUCCAUACACUAGUUUACAAGUUGAGCAUGUGAGACAUCUUUGCACCAAUUUGAGGAGAGUGUUGAUUGAUUGAUUAGUGAUUUCCAAGCUUAAUUACAGAAGUUGAUUAAUAUUGUAAAUAUAAUUGAUUGUGCAAUAUUGUCUUUCCUUAUUUAGGCUUAGGACUCAUAGUAUAAGUACCCAUUCUCAUGAAUGUAACAUCAUUGAGAAAUACAAAGAAGCCUUUUCUUCUUGAAAUCUUCACAAACACUCCAAAUCAUUUUGUAGCUCCAGUAAUGCUCCAAAAAUAUUUAGAAGUGUCAUUAGGAUUGCAAUUAACCCGAAUUGAAUAUAGAACUUUUACAAGGCUUUACAAAUUUCUCCCCACCAGGUCCUAUUUCAUUGGCAGACGUUAGUUAUAGCAUUGAAAUUGCUAAAUGCUAACUGAUUCCACUCCAAUUACAUAAUCAAAGUAUUCUGGGUCCCAUCAAUGACCAAGUAGGAAUUUAAAUUUUUUCAUAAUAUUUUCACAUCAACUUUAGGCCAAUUUGUCGCUGCAUACUAUAAAAUGACAGAUAAAGACCACAUACAUGGCUUUCAGGGCAAAAGUUAUAUGGAACGAUAUGAAGAUCCAGGCUUUCACAUUACACAAAGAAAGAAACAGAUUCUUCACAUGAUAGGUACGACAAACUGCUUUAGAUAUUCAAAGAUAGAACUAUCAAAAUCACAGCUGUUUCAUGAUACAGUGAACAACUUAUAAGAAACAAGAAAAUCCUCACCUGUUGAUGAAUAUUUUUUCAGAGCUUUCUGGGCAUCCUUUGACAAACCUGUUAAAAUGGAGGCGCAAGACAAGGAAGUCAGGCUCAACAUAAUUAUUUCCAGAGAACAAAAUAAUCCUCCCAAAGUCUAAUUUAACAAAAAUAUGUACCCCUAGCAUUGAAUAUAACUUCCUUCGGUGACACCUACACAUGCAACAGAGAGCAACAUACAAUUAUCAACCAAACAAAUCACACAUAUAUUAAGUUACUCAAGAAAUAUAUUAGAUCUUUAAGUGUCGUACUUGCAUCAGCAAAGCCCCCAAAGCUGCACAAGAUGCAUCAUCGUCGAUGGAACCAACCCAAACUUUCAGAGCAGCACAAUCGACAAAAGCAAAUCCAAUAGUGGUUGAACCAUUCCCCAGCUCAUUGCAAGUCUAUGUCAUAGUGAAAGAAGAACAUUAAAUCAUCUGCCUCAGUUGAAGCCCCACGCUGUAACACAAGGAUAACCAUAUGGACAUCAAAAGAUUUUAAAGCUUUCUUUUGAUCAUUUUGCCAGAGAAAGAAAACAACAUAAGAUUGCACAAAGAUUUACUCUGCACUUACAAUAGAUAACUCUACUGCCAUGUAGAAUUAACAGACUCUAUCAUGUCAAUGUCAAUUUUAUUUAAAAAGAUGCUGACCUCCUUGACGGCAAGAAGAUGAACUGCAUCAGGCCCAAUAUUACCCUCACUUGUCGUAGAAGGGGUGAGUACAUGAACUAGUUUUCUACGAAUAACCUGAAACCGAUAUUUCUCAUUAUCAAAUCACUCAAUGCCAUGAUGAACAAAGAGCAGUUUAGUGCUCAUAGGAGAAACAGAAGAAAUUAUGAGCGCUAAACGAAAAGAUCCAUAAAACUAUAAAAAUACAGAAAUUUUUUAUGCAUUAAUUGCUUCAAUGUAUCUUCUGUUGCUUUGUUAUCACAUUUAGAACAGUUAAAGGACUAUCACCAACCUCACUGCCCCAAGCAUUAUAAAUAUUUUUAAGAACUACGUAAACCCAAUGAAUUCAUGCUGCACUUACAGAAGUAGAGCCUCUAGAUUUUGCUUGCUCGGAUGUUUCCAACUGUUCCAUCCGUCCAACUUUGUACCUUCAAAUUUGUUAGAUAAACUCAACAUAAAUGACAAGAUACCAUCAGAUGAGAAUAAGACACUAAAUAAGAAAUUAUCAACAGGGGGGUCAAUUCCAUUAUCAAUCUAUUCCAUCUUUCUCUAACUUUCCGCGCAACUUUUUUCUGUCUCUAAAGACUUUCUCACUUUCUAGAUUUCUUAGCUUUCUGUGAUGGAGAUGAUCAGAUGACCAGGUUCCCAUUGAUGAAUCUCGACCGGAGACCAAGAGAGAGGGCGCAUCUGGGCUGGGAUGUUCUCCCCGAGUAACCUAAGGUAUUACAUCUAUCUUCAAAUGCGAUCUGUUUAUUAUAUCUUUUUCCCCGCUUUGGCAUUGCUAGAUCUGAUUAAGGUUAGGUUGUUUUUCGCACCAGGUAUGAUAGAGACUCAACUUUUUAUGUAUUCUAUAUAGUAUCUUGAUUAAAUCUAUUGUGUUCUUACUAUAAUCAUAUGGUACUUUUAGCUGGGUUUUUGUAUUUCAGUGUUCGAUUUUUAUUUCUUCAGCAUGAGAAAAAAAAUUACUAUAUUUUAUCGGAUCUUUCUUUUUCUUUUUUGAUCAUCGCUUUAUAAUUAGAUCCGACAUGAAUGAUCUGUUUUCGAAAUUUUGUGAUUAAUUAUGAUGCGUCAAUUAGAUCAAAUUGGCUUUUUUUUACCAAAAUUUUAUGUGGAAAUAUGUCAUAAUGUCAAUACUCAAUUGAAAAGCUCUCAUGGAUUUGAUUGCAAAUUCAAAAAGGGGGUGGUCAAUAUUGAUUGUGCUUCUAAGAUGGUUUUUAUUUGAAGGAGACGUUUUUAAUCCUGUUCUGUAAACUCACCUGAUAAAUCAUAGUUGUGUUAACAACUGUUUCCCAAUUGGCCAAAACUCUCUCCAAUGCUAGGACAAAAAUAAUCAUCCAGAACCAGUUCGUGCAGAAGUCAUCGGCAGGGAUAGUUUCGAGCUCUGUCCAGGUUAUAUCUUCCAAUUUACCCUGUCUUUUAGUUCUUGUUCUGCCUAUUCAGUUCUUGACUUAGCCUCUAUUUAUUUAGUUCUUGAUUUAGCCUCUAUUUAUUUAGUUCUUGCUUUAGCCUCUAUUUUUAGUUCUUGGGCCUUUGUUUUCUAGUUCUUGUUCAGCCUCCUGUUUGAUGUUCUUGUUCAACCUAUUUAAUUCUUGAUUUAGAGCCUCUUUGGAUUGGCUUAUGCCACAUGUUCCUCACCCUUUUUGGCCUCAGAUGGUAAUGCCUAACACUAUCAGGGAAGUUUUUGAAUACUGGAGCCACUGGAAUGUUGACAGCACCAUCAAAAAGAUUUGGAAGAUGACACCAGCUGCCAUCUUUUGGACUAUCUAGAAUGAAAGAAAUAGAAGAUGUUUUGAUGGCCUCUCAACUAGACAAUCUAUGCUCAAAGCUAAAUGUCUUUUGUAUUUAUAUAGUUGGGUUUUUGGUCCCCAAUGGAUUCCCCUGAUAGCUUUUUAGAUUUUGUUUGCUCUAUGAUAGUGUACUAGAGAUAACAUACAACUGCUCACUCUUUUGUAACUACUUUGCAUCUUCUUGAUGCCAUGAAUGGAAUCAAUUACUUCAUCUAAAAAGUGUUUUUAAGCCAAAAUAGGUUUUAAGCAUUUUUGGAGUGUUUGGGUAAAUUAAAAAAUGGCUUAUAAGCACUUGAUAUUAAGCUAAAAUGAUAAAAAUAAACCAAAAGUCAUAAGUUAGAAAUUCAACCUUAUGACUUUCGUCUUAUAAGUCAAAAAUUAAAAGUCAAUCCAAACUUGCUCUUAGCCACUGCUUUUUAGUUCUUGUCCUUCUUAUGUAGUUCUUGAUUUAGCCUCUAUUUUUAAUUAUUGUGCAGCCUUUAUUUUCUAGCUCAAUUUAUCUUAUGUCUUGUUCAGCCUUUGUUUUUAGUUCUUGAUUUAGACUAUUUAUUCCAGAAUUUUAGUACCUAUGUUAGUGGCUUCGGGGUUUGAUGGUAGUUUCCAAGUCCUUGGUUGGGGGUGGGAGCAAGGAUACCAAGGGAGCUUUUAGGUUGAAAGUUUGGUCUUGGAACAUAGGGACUGUAACACCUCGCAAAUUCAACUCUAAGGAUCCAAACCAUUCGUCGUAAGUGUAUCAACUUGGGCCAGAUGAUAUGCUACUUGUACACAUGUGUUAAGGUCCAUUCUUAAGUGUGAAAAGUAUAUCGGAUGUGGUUGAAGGUCAUAAAGGACCUUCAGUACUAAGUCGAGUUCAAAACCUUCCUAUCGGCUAAGUUUUUGGGCAUCAGAGAUUUGAGGAAGCAUAACAACAGUCUUUUGAUGAAAUGGUUGUGGAGAUACACUGAGGAGAGGCAAGCUUUGUGGAAAGAUUUGAUUAAAUGUAAAUAUGGGGAGGAUGGAUUCUGGUGUAGUAACAUAAGCACGGAUGCUUAUGGAGCGGGGGUUUGGAGAGCUAUUAGGAAACUUAUGGCCCAAGUUAGAAGCAAAUUUACAUAUCAAGGUGGGGGAUGGAAGGAGAACUAGAUUCUGGUGGGAUGUAUGGAUCAAACAAACCCCUCUAAAAAGACAUGUUUCCUGACCUAUUUAUUUUGUGCACCAAUUCCGAGGCAAUGAUCAGUGAUUGCUGGACAGAACAAGGUUGGAAUCUCUAUUUCAGAAGACUUCUAAAUGAUUGGGAAAUAGAGAGAGUAGCCAAAUUGUUGGAGGAAGUGGGGGAUUUUGCAGGCACCAAUACUGACAAUGAUGUUGUUAGAUGGUCACACAGUAAGGAUGGGAUCUUCACAGUUGGCAGGGCAUAUAAAAAGGAGUGCAACUCGCAAAGUAGCAGAUACCAGAGUUCAUGGAAAAAUAUCUGGAGGACUGCAGCACCAACAAAAGUUAAAUGCUUUACUUGGCUGGUCAUUAGAAAGGCAUGCUUGACACAUGAAGUCUUGAGGAAGAAAAGAAAGAUCAUACUUCCGUGGUGCUCUUUAUGUGGAAAGACGGGGGAAACUAACAGUCACCUAUUCUUACAUUGUACUUUCACAGCACAAAUAUGGUCCAUGUUUCUCAACUUUUCAGAAGUGAAAUGGANNNNNNNNNNNNNNNNNNNNNNNNNNNNNNNNNNNNNNNNNNNNNNNNNNNNNNNNNNNNNNNNNNNNNNNNNNNNNNNNNNNNNNNNNNNNNNNNNNNNNNNNNNNNNNNNNNNNNNNNNNNNNNNNNNNNUGAUUCCACAUUGCAUUUGGUGGACAGUGUGGAAGGAGAGGAAUAGUAGGAAUUUUGAAGAUAUAUCCAAUUCCAUUCAACCUUGUUGAAUGGAAUUGCAUUGUAUCUCUAUAUUUUUGGUGUAAAGAGAUAGGAUUAGAGGAUUCAGAUCAACUUUUAAAACUCUUAGGAUCCUUGUAAGUAUUAUGCUUUUUGUUCUUUACUGAUAUUUUAAAGGUCCCCAGGUAAUGCUGAAGAAUACAAUGUUUACCAAUUCUCAAAACUUCAAACGAUGACAUCUCUGUUAGGUGGCUCACGACCUAACAAAUUAAAGGUCUAUGAGUCUUCUUUCCAAAGCCACCAACCAUUCGUGAAUCCGAGUCCGGAGUAAAAAGUUAUGACUGAUUACUAGAGAUGUUCCAAUCUGGCAGUGAGUGACGGUCCGUCACAAGUGUGAUGACCCGUCAUAAGUGGGCUUCACACUUAACUAGUGAGCUCAUUUUUUUGGCUUAGUUAUGACGGCCCGUCACCCAAGCGACGGCCUAUCACUCAGAUGACGGUAGGGCGUGAAAUUUCAUCGAUUUUGUGUUAGAGGAGGGUAUUUUUAUCCUAAAACCUUUGGGGAAGUUAUCUAAAUGACCUUACAACAUCUUAGGACGGUUAGACAAUCAGUUUUCAUCAUUGAAACCCUUUCAUUCUCUCCCCAAACAUCAACACUCAAGAAUUUUCAAGAAACACCAAGUUAGGGUUCCUCUUCCAAGGUUCUUCAUCUAGCUUUGUCACUAAGGUAUGUAAGGAUAGUAUAUUGAGAAACUAAGUUCUUCCUCAUGCCCUACAUCUAUAAUCUAAGUAAGUAGAUCAAAGUUAAGGUUUCACCCCAAAGUUCAUGAUUUUUGAAUUCUUUUAUUUCGAAUAUGCUCAUUGUUGAUUCUAUUAUUGAGCAUAUGGAUGUGGUAUCUGGAGAUCAAUAAGAAAUCUUUGGCCUCUGUUUCUUUCUAGAAUCAGAUUCCAGGUGGGUAAUGGAAUGAAGGUGUCAUUUUGGGAGGACAGAUGGAUAGCCCAAAGAACCUUGAAACAAUUAUUUCCAGACUUAUAUACACUAAGCCUUCAACAAAAUGCAACUGUGGCUGAAAUGUGGACAGGACAGGGGUGGAACUUACAUCUUAGGAGGAAUCUAAAUGAUUGGGAGAUGGGGAACAUAGUGGCCUUCCAUGAUACACUGGCACAAUUUAGCAAUUUGACUAGGGAAGAAGACAAGGUUGUGUGGAAGAUUGGUAGCAAAGGGGUUUUCAGUGUCAAGUCAGCUUACAAAGAUCUUAAUCAAUCAAAUUCAAAUGAUAGGAUGGAGCUAUGGCCAUGGCGGAUGAUAUGGAGAACUAAAAUCCCAAACAAGGUAAACUGUUUCACAUGGUUACUAGCAAAGGAAGCAGUGCUGACACAAGAGAAUAUAAAGAAGAGGAAGUUCCAACUAUGCUCAAGAUGCUAUUUGUGUGAGGAACAGGAAGAGACAGUCAACCAUCUCUUUUUGAAUUGCAAAUGGACAGAUCAAUUAUGGAGAAUAUUCAGCAGCCUUAGAAAGAUCACUUGGGUGAAACCAAGAAACAUAGUACAACUCCUAAAUUGUUGGAUCAAUAUUGGCAAUACUACAAUUAAGGAGGAGAGAUGGAGGAUUGUCCCAACUUGUAUAUGGUGGACAGUGUGGAAAGAAAGGAAUCAAAGAUGUUUUGAGGGCAAGAAGAACAAUGUGCAGAAUUUCAAGAUGAAUUGUAUAGCUCUUUAUUAUUUUUGGUGUAAACAGAAAGUCUUAGUACAGGCAGAAGAACUUUUUGAUGUUUUAGACUAUUUGUGACAAAAAGCACAGAUGGAGUCAGUCUAGUUUGUAAUACUUUUUGGAAG
Molecule: long non-coding RNA, 18258 nt
Filed under: Solanum tuberosum (potato)
Lineage: Eukaryota; Viridiplantae; Streptophyta; Magnoliopsida; Solanales; Solanaceae
Description: long non-coding RNA (STUB_LNC007143)
Source: RNAcentral